RNAcentral lists this ribosomal RNA (1249 nucleotides) under uncultured Spirochaetota bacterium. Its description in RNAcentral is "bacterial SSU rRNA". It matches the Rfam family "Bacterial small subunit ribosomal RNA". The record is from RNAcentral. Lineage: Bacteria; Pseudomonadati; Spirochaetota.
AAUGAACGCUGGCGGCGUGCCUAACACAUGCAAGUCGAACGAGAACGGGGGGUUUCGGCCCUCUUAGUAAAGUGGCGCACGGGUGAGUAACGCGUGGGUAAUCUGCCCUAAGGUCCUGGAUAACGUUUCGAAAGGGGCGCUAAUACGGGAUAAGACCCCGCCGGCUUCGGCCGAAGAGGUCAAAGAGGCUUUUGGGCCUUGCCUUGGGAUGAGCCUGCGUGACAUUAGAUUGAUGGUGGGGUAAAGGCCUACCAUAUUGUCGACGAUGUCUAGCUGGUCUGAGAGGAUGAUCAGCCACACUGGGACUGGAACACGGCCCAGACUCCUACGGGAGGCAGCAGUGAGGAAUUUUGCGCAAUGGGGGGAACCCUGACGCAGCAACGCCGCGUGAGUGACGAAGGCCGUAAGGUUGUAAAGCUCUGUCGCCCGGGAAGAAAGCCCCGCUCAGGAAAUGGGGUGGGUUUGACGGUACCGGGAAAGGAAGCACCGGCUAACUCCGUGCCAGCAGCCGCGGUAAUACGGGGGGUGCAAGCGUUAUUCGGAAUCAUUGGGUGUAAAGCGCAUGUAGGCGGUUGGGUGUGUCAGAUGUGAAAGCCCCGGGCUUAACCCUGGAAGUGCAUUUGAAACUGCGGGGCUUGAGUCACGGAGGCGGAGCCGGAAUUCCUGGUGUAGGGGUGAAAUCUGUAGAUAUCAGGAAGAACACCGGUGGCGAAGGCGGGCUUCGAGCCGAUGACUGACGCUGAGGCGCGAAAGUGCAGGGGAAAGGCGUCGAGAAGCGUCCGCCGGGAAACCGGCCCCUGCGCAGGUGCUGCAUGGCUGUCGUCAGCUCGUGCCGUGAGGUGUUGGGUUAAGUCCCGCAACGAGCGCAACCCCUACUGCCAGUUGCCAUCAUUUAGUUGGGGACUCUGGCGGAACUGCCGGUGACAAACCGGAGGAAGGUGGGGAUGACGUCAAGUCAUCAUGGCCCUUAUGUCCAGGGCUACACACGUGCUACAAUGGACGGUACAAAGCGGAGCGAAGCCGCGAGGCGCAGGCGAAUCGCUUAAAGCCGUCCGUAGUUCGGAUUGAAGUCUGAAACCCGACUUCAUGAAGUUGGAAUCGCUAGUAAUCGCGCAUCAGCAUGGCGCGGUGAAUACGUUCCCGGGCCUUGUACACACCGCCCGUCACACCAUCCGAGUUGGAGGUACCCGAAGCCGGCAGUCUAACCGUAAGGAGGACGCUGUCGAAGGUACGUUUAGUGAGGAGGGUG